GACGAACGCUGGCGGCGUGCUUAACACAUGCAAGUCGAACGGAAAGGCCCUGCUUUUGUGGGGUGCUCGAGUGGCGAACGGGUGAGUAACACGUGAGUAACCUGCCCUUGACUUUGGGAUAACUUCAGGAAACUGGGGCUAAUACCGGAUAGGAGCUCCUGCUGCAUGGUGGGGGUUGGAAAGUUUCGGCGGUUGGGGAUGGACUCGCGGCUUAUCAGCUUGUUGGUGGGGUAGUGGCUUACCAAGGCUUUGACGGGUAGCCGGCCUGAGAGGGUGACCGGCCAAAAUGGGAACGGGGUUCGGGCCCGGCUCCCAAGGGGAGGCAGAGGGGGGGAUAUUGCACAAUGGGCGGAAGCCUGAUGCAGCAACGCCGCGUGCGGGAUGACGGCCUUCGGGUUGUAAACCGCUUUCGCCUGUGACGAAGCGUGAGUGACGGUAAUGGGUAAAGAAGCACCGGCUAACUACGUG
RNAcentral lists this ribosomal RNA (468 nucleotides) under uncultured bacterium. RNAcentral's name for it is "partial 16S ribosomal RNA". It matches the Rfam family "Bacterial small subunit ribosomal RNA", at positions 28 to 507 of the family's 1533-position model. The record is from RNAcentral.